RNAcentral lists this transfer RNA (77 nucleotides) under Acidobacteriota bacterium. RNAcentral's name for it is "Acidobacteria bacterium (activated sludge metagenome) tRNA-Leu". It matches the Rfam family "tRNA". From Rfam's summary of the family: Transfer RNA (tRNA) molecules are approximately 80 nucleotides in length. Their secondary structure includes four short double-helical elements and three loops (D, anti-codon, and T loops). The record is from RNAcentral. Lineage: Bacteria; Pseudomonadati; Acidobacteriota.
GCGGAUGUGGCGGAACAGGCAUACGCGCAAGUCCGAGAAGCUUGUUUUUGGAGGUUCGAAUCCUCUCAUCCGCACCA